Molecule: ribosomal RNA, 493 nt
Filed under: uncultured bacterium
Lineage: Bacteria
Description: partial 16S ribosomal RNA
Rfam family: Bacterial small subunit ribosomal RNA
Source: RNAcentral
ACGAACGCUGGCGGCGUGCUUAACACAUGCAAGUCGAACGGUGAAGCGCCUUCCUUUUUGGUGGGUGUGGAUGAGUGGCGAACGGGUGAGUAACACGUGAGUAACCUGCCCCCUUCUUCUGGAUAACCGCAUGAAAGUGUGGCUAAUACGGGAUAUUCUGGGUCUGUCGCAUGAUGGGUCUGGGAAAGAUAUUGUUUCGGUGGGGGAUGGGCUCGCGGCCUAUCAGCUUGUUGGUGGGGUGAUGGCCUACCAAGGCGGUGACGGGUGGCCGGCCUGAGAGGGUGGACGGUCACACUGGGACUGAGACACGGCCCAGACUCCUACGGGAGGCAGCAGUGGGGAAUAUUGCACAAUGGGCGCAAGCCUGAUGCAGCGACGCCGCGUGAGGGAUGGAGGCCUUCGGGUUGUGAACCUCUUUCGCCAGUGAAGCAGGCCUGCCUCGUUUGUGGGUGGGUUGACGGUAGCUGGAUAAGAAGCGCCGGCUAACUACGUG